RNAcentral lists this ribosomal RNA (253 nucleotides) under uncultured bacterium. RNAcentral's name for it is "partial 16S ribosomal RNA". It matches the Rfam family "Bacterial small subunit ribosomal RNA", at positions 524 to 776 of the family's 1533-position model. The record is from RNAcentral.
UACGUAGGGGGCAAGCGUUGUCCGGAUUUAUUGGGCGUAAAGAGCGUGUAGGCGGCCAGGUAGGUCAGCUGUGAAAACUCGAGGCUCAACCUCGAGACGCCGGUUGAAACCAUCUGGCUAGAGUCCGGAAGAGGAGAGUGGAAUUCCUGGUGUAGCGGUGAAAUGCGCAGAUAUCAGGAAGAACACCUAUGGCGAAGGCAGCUCUCUGGGACGGUACUGACGCUGAGACGCGAAAGCGUGGGGAGCAAACAGG